RNAcentral lists this ribosomal RNA (966 nucleotides) under Triticum aestivum (bread wheat). RNAcentral's name for it is "partial small subunit ribosomal RNA". Lineage: Eukaryota; Viridiplantae; Streptophyta; Magnoliopsida; Poales; Poaceae. The record is from RNAcentral.
AUGCUCCGACCGCGCCUCUUCGUUCCUCCAUCGCGCGCCCUGCAUCUUCGGCCCCGACGUCGGCGCGCCCGCUUCGUCCUGCGCCUACAUCGACCCCGACUCCGCGCAGGUCUGCACCGCGCCGCUCGGCCUCCGUUCCCGCGCCUCGUCCGUCUCGCGCGCCCGCGUCCGGCCCUGCUCCCGAGCCGGCUGCUGCUCCGUGGUCGGCAGGAGGCUCCGUCGACGCGCCCGCCUCAUCCCGGGCCGGCUGCGCCCCGGUCCUUCGUCGCCAGGUCCCCCGCACCUCCCGCUACCUGGCCCUGCUCGUCCUCGCCCGAGCUCGCCCUGCCGCUGGCUUGCCGGCCGCCUUCCCGGACGGCUACGAGGUGCUGGAGAGGGAUUCGGGGCUCCUCGAGCACGCCGGACGCCGACCACGCCCGCCCGAGCUGGACAUCGGACUCCUCCAGCGCCGCUCCGCCCCACACCGAUGCGCUCCGUGCUCGAGAGAGAGAGAGAGGGGCAGGCGAGAAGAAAGAGGAAAAGAGAGGAGAGAGGUUGUGGGAGGCCGACAGUGGGCCAACCGCAAGAAAAAGGCGUCGCCGGCACGCCCAGCUGCUCCCCAGGGGGCUGGGUUUGGGGUGGUACUGCCGGCGUCAAUUUUCUCUAAAUCCGGCGAAAAGUGGGGCUUUGGGGGCACGAAUGGGGGGAUAUUUUAGUGCCGGCGUCCAAAAAGUGGCCGUGGGGGGCAUCUUGGGGGACGGCUGGAGAUGCUCUAAGGUUUGCCCCUACACAAACAAGUCAGCAAGGCAAAAGGGUCCCUACUACUCUCCCAUGGUGUCCACUGGUACAGACCAUUCCCUCCCCUUUAUCUUGGAUGCUCUUAUAACCAGGGUACUCUACUGGUUUGGUUUUGUACUUUCAACAUUCCAAGAAGUAGUAUUCCAGUGCAAUCAGAAAGUCACUCAGUUGAUAGGAAUUUCGAGAUAG